UCGUGAUGAGGCGAUAAAUUGCGGCUCAGCCUCAUUAACUGUCUCUUCCUUGUUGCGGUGAUAGGGGACGGACGAGCUGCGGCCCGGAGACCGAAAUCAACCCGCCGAAGGCCUCGACUCACGGACUGAAGAAUGGAUGGAUGUUUAUAAGGUGGUGAUCCUACAGGAGCUUCAGCUUUGCUUUGUCUUCUCAGUUUAAGAUUUUACAGUUUGAAAGUACAGUAGUUGUUAUCUAUGCACAGGCCAACUGCAAUGAAUUUCUAUUUGAGAUACAUAGUGGAUGCUUUAUUAGUUACAUCUGUACAGUUGAUUCCAUUUCAAUAAAACCGCUCUGCUAUA
Long non-coding RNA from Amphiprion ocellaris (clown anemonefish), 339 nucleotides. RefSeq lists it as uncharacterized. The transcript is spliced from 3 exons. NCBI's taxonomy places the organism in Eukaryota, Metazoa, Chordata, Actinopteri, Pomacentridae. The record is from RefSeq and is a predicted model, not a curated record.